RNAcentral lists this ribosomal RNA (409 nucleotides) under Fusobacteriota bacterium. RNAcentral's name for it is "Fusobacteria bacterium partial 16S ribosomal RNA". It matches the Rfam family "Bacterial small subunit ribosomal RNA", at positions 355 to 776 of the family's 1533-position model. The record is from RNAcentral. Lineage: Bacteria; Fusobacteriati; Fusobacteriota.
UGGGGAAUAUUGCACAAUGGAGGGAACUCUGAUGCAGCAACGCCGCGUGCGGGAUGACGGCCUUCGGGUUGUAAACUGCUUUCAGCCAUGACGAAGCUUUUGUGACGGUAGUGGUAGAAGAAGCACCGGCUAACUACGUGCCAGCAGCCGCGGUGAUACGUAGGGUGCGAGCGUUGUCCGGAAUUAUUGGGCGUAAAGAGCUUGUAGGCGGUUUGUCGCGUCGAAAGUGUAAACUCAGUGCUUAACGCUGAGCCUGCUUUCGAUACGGGCUGACUAGAGGAGGGUAGGGGAGAAUGGAAUUCCCGGUGGAGCGGUGGAAUGCGCAGAUAUCGGGAGGAACACCAGUGGCGAAGGCGGUUCUCUGGACCUUUCCUGACGCUGAGAAGCGAAAGCGUGGGUAGCAAACAGG